This 1932-nucleotide ribosomal RNA is filed under the name Triticum aestivum (bread wheat). Its description in RNAcentral is "partial small subunit ribosomal RNA". Lineage: Eukaryota; Viridiplantae; Streptophyta; Magnoliopsida; Poales; Poaceae. The record is from RNAcentral.
AUGGGCGCCGCCAACAGCCGCGAGGACCUCGACCUCACCUCCUCCUCCGGCGAGGAGGAGGAGGAGGACGCCGACGAGGAGUACGACCCCGGGUCCGCCUCCGGGGCCAAGCAGCGUCAGGACGACCCGCUCCGGGCCACCACCCCCGCCUCCAUCGAGUUCCUCGACGCCAAGCUCCGGGCCCUCGACCUCAAGUACAAGCAGCCCGACAACGCUGCCCGCCUCUACCUCCACGUCGGCGGCGCCUCCGCCGACGCCCGCUGGGUUCCCGCCGAGCGCCGCGCCACCUACGCCUUCCUCGACAAGGCGGUCGCCGUGGACGACGACGACUACUACGACGACGAGCGCCGCGGCCGUCGCUCCUUGUCCUCGGCCUCCUCGCGGGGGCCCCGGUGGGUCCUCGAGGUGGACCCGGGCCGGCGGGUCUCGGCGCCCGUGGGGCAGGAGCUGCAGCUCAAGGCGCUCCCGGGGCAGCGCCGGGCGGACUUCGCCGCGGCGGGCUCCGUGUGGGCGCUGCGCUUCCCCAACGACGCCGCCUUCCGCCGCUUCCGGGAGCAGUACGACCGGUGCCUCUUCGAGAACACGUACGGGGUGGAGGCCACGGACGAGGGCCGCCGGGAGGUCUUCGGCGCCGACUUCGCCGCCUGGGCGCGCCCCGCCGAGGCCGACGACGCCGUCUGGGCCGACGCGGAGGACGACCUCGCCCCUCCCCCCGCCGCGCCCGCCAGGGACCUGCUCGAGGAGUUCGAGGAGGAGGCCGGCGACGGCAGCGGCAUCCAGAGCCUCGCGCUCGGCGCGCUCGACAACAGCUUCCUGGUCGGCGGCGCCGGGAUUCAGGUGGUCAAGAACUUCCGGCACGGCGUGCACGGCAAGGGCGUGUCGGUCAGGAUCUCGGGCGGCCGCGGUGGCGGCACCAGCACCACCAGCACCAACUACUCGACGCCCAAGAAGGCCCUGCUGAUGCGCGGCGAGACCAACAUGCUGCUGAUGAGCCCCGGGGACACCGGCGCGCCGCAUUCCAACGGCGUGCACCACGUCGACAUCGAGACCGGCAAGGUCGUCGCCGAGUGGCGGUUCGAGAAGGACGGCACCGACAUCACGAUGCGGGACAUCGCCAACGACAGCAAGAGCGCGCAGCUGGAGCCCUCCGGAUCAACCUUCCUGGGGCUGGACGACAACCGGCUGUGCAGGUGGGACAUGCGCGACGCGAGGGGCAGGGUGCAGACCAUCGGCAACUCCGACGACUCGCCGGUGCUGCACUGGUCGCAGGGCCACCAGUUCUCGCGGGGCACCAACUUCCAGUGCUUCGCGAGCACCGGGGAUGGCUCGAUUGUUGUUGGCUCCGUCGAUGGCAAGAUCAGGCUCUACUCCAGGAGCUCGAUGCGGAUGGCCAAGACGGUCUUCCCGGGGCUUGGGUCGCCGAUCACGCAUGUGGAUGUUACUUAUGACGGGAAGUGGAUCCUGGGCACCACAGACACAUACUUGGUUUUGAUCUGCACCAUCUUCAAGGACAAGGAUGGCAAGGAGAAGACCGGGUUCAGUGGGCGUAUGGGAAGCAGGAUCGCCGCGCCGAGGUUGCUGAAGCUCAGUCCGCUUGAUUCAAUCUUGGCUGGGAAUGACAACAAAUUCCAUGGUGGACAAUUUUCAUGGGUAACGGAGAACGGGAAGCAAGAAAAGCAUCUCGUCGCGACAGUCGGCAAGUUCAGCCUCAUAUGGAACUUCCAAAAGGUGAAGGACAGCAACCAUCACUGCUACCGCGACCAGGAGGGCCUGAAGAGCUGCUACUGCUACAAGGUCGUCCUCAAGGAAGAGUCCAUCGUCGACAGCCGGUUCAUGCACGAGAACUUCGCAGGAUCCGACUCCCCUGAAGCUCCCCUGGUUGUCGCCACCCCAAUGAAAGUUAGCUCCUUCAGCAUCGCAAGCAAGCGUUGA